Molecule: small nuclear RNA, 251 nt
Filed under: Oryctolagus cuniculus (rabbit)
Lineage: Eukaryota; Metazoa; Chordata; Mammalia; Lagomorpha; Leporidae
Description: 7SK RNA
Rfam family: 7SK RNA
About the family: 7SK was discovered as an abundant small nuclear RNA in the mid-70s but a possible function has only recently been suggested. Two independent studies have found that 7SK RNA binds the CDK9/cyclin T complex (known as elongation factor P-TEFb). P-TEFb activates transcription by phosphorylating the C-terminal domain of RNA polymerase II.
Source: Rfam by way of RNAcentral
GGGUGGUCUGGCUGUGACAUCUGUCAUCCCAAUGAUCACCAAGAUUCAUUUGACUGAUAUCACCUUUCAUGUUGCUCCUUGUGUGUCUCUCAAAGCUUUGCAGUAGCAUAGAAUGACCUUCCCAGAGAAAAGCAGAUUUUCUUUAGACAGGGAUGUAGGAGUAACAGCAUUCCCCUGGUAGAGCUUGGAAACAAGAAUAGAUUCCAAAUGCAGGAAGCCAGGUCUGCACAGCUGGGCAUCUUUUGCCUAUA